Xiphias gladius (swordfish) is the source of this 1762-nucleotide long non-coding RNA. RefSeq lists it as uncharacterized. The transcript is spliced from 5 exons. The record is from RefSeq and is a predicted model, not a curated record. Lineage: Eukaryota; Metazoa; Chordata; Actinopteri; Istiophoriformes; Xiphiidae.
GUCUUGGUCUUGGUCUUGGUCUUGGUCUUGGUCUUCUGUUCCUGCCUGCACUGCCUAAAUGCUUGUAGAAGUCACUGGAGAGACCAUCGACCCCUGGUGCCCGUCCCAAUGCCGUCUGGUUGAUGGCGACCAUCAACUCCUCCAGAGUCAGCUCCCGAUCCAGACCAGCCUUCUCGUCCGGGCUAAGUUGAGGAAGCCCCUGCAGAAGGUCCUCGCGGCCCUCCGUGUUGCAGUGGCCUGCACCAAAGAGGCCUCUAACACAGCCUAUUUAAAGGCAACUGAAAUAUCUCUAUCCCACAUUAGAGGUUUGUGCCUCGGAUGGGUGACCAUGACGUGGCGUCUUGUUAGUGUCUGACCCUUUGGGAGUCUUGCACAGGUAUUGUGUGUAUCCAGAUGUGCAAAUGGGAAAGACUGCCAUUGUUUGAGUGGACUGGAUCAACCCUAUUCUGAGGUUCCAGUUCUAUCAACAUCUGAUAACAGAUUUUAUUGACCAAACACAGCUGGUCACUCAUUGCAGCAGUGGGAUGACUCAUUUAGCCUCCAAGUAAAUUCUCUGACUGCAAAACCACCGACCAAGACAUCUCAAACUGGGGUAUCCCCUGUCAGGGAAGAUAGGACUGCACGCUGGAGAAAAGUCACAGUGAUGGAUGGUGUGCACAGCUGCCACACAACGCUAUACUAUUAAUGCCUUAUUGAUUAAAGUAGGUCACUGGCCUCCCGCUAUAUAAGUAGCCACACGCGUUUCUGCCCAGCACCACAACUCCAUGCUACCAUUAACAAUUGACACUAAUUUGUCCCUGAAGGGUUACUUUAGCGUGGUGUUAAAAAUAGUCCCACCUAUGUUGGAGUCUGGAGGCUGGUGUUAGUAUUUAUAAGUUGAAGCUGCUGAUACAGCUGAAAAAUAAUGCUGAUAUUUUGUAUUAAUUUCAGCAUUUGUAUAUUUCCUGUAAAUUUGUGAAAUGCAGUGUCUUUAAAAUUUGGAUUCAGUGUGGCGUUGACAGUCAGUUGGUCUCUGUCCAACACUCAGGACCAGAGAUAGAUACUGUAUCUCAGCAGCUACUGGUCACAUUCUCAUGAAAUUACCCAGAGGAUAAUUCUUAGUAAGACUUUUCAUCUAUGGGAACUUAACCUAUUAUCUUGAGCUCCCCAUAACCUAUACUUUUAAAAACAUAGGAUUUGAUUUGUUUCUACUUUGUAUUUUCACUUGUUUUUACAAACCAAAACUUUUUGUAUGCAGUAGCGCUUUGGAUAUAUGCCCUUAAAAGGGCAUAUAUCCGAAGCGUGUCAUUUUUGAGUACAGUCGAAGGACACUCAACAAUGGAAUAAGUGUAGCUAAUUAUAAUUUUCGUUCACGUUUGUCAUACCUUGUAAACCUCAGUAUCCUUGGGUAGAUAACGAAAUUGUCCGUUUGUUGAGAUACUUUUCUCCUUCAGUUCUUCUAGUACCACAAAAAUGUUUCACGUUAUAGCAAUGUAAGUUCUCAUGUUAUAACAUGAAACAUUUCGUCAUAAAUAGUAUAUUGUUAUAACAAGAAAAGUUUCUCGUUGCGACAUGAUCCUGAUCUGUUUUUCUUUUUCUGGUGUGGCAGCAAUACACUUCCAUAUAUUUGCAUUUUAUUUGUAUUUGUAUUUUAUUUUCAUGUUAUGCAUUUUACUUCAUUUUAUCAAAUUGUCUUAAUUCUCAUUUAAAUCCAUCUUAAUUGAUUCUUUGCCGAUGUAAAGCACUGAAUGGCAUCUGUAUUUGAAGUGUGCUAUAUAAAUAA